AAGCCAUGCAUGUCUUAGAAUAAGGCGGUUGAUUUCUGAAUCUGCGAACGGCUCCGUAUAUCUGUUGUAACCUACCUCCUCUAAGGGCCGAGGCGUCGGUAUAACCGCGGUAAUUCUGGGGCUAAUACAUGUAACAUCUUAGUAUGUCGUGGGUCAUUCCUGAGGGGUGCACUCGGGCCUUGCCGGCCGACCACUGGGGGGGGCAACCCCUCUUGCGUGAGGCGGGCAAGUACGUCUUACCGUGGCUGACCAUGGAGAGAGGGGUGGGCUUCAGACCUAUCAACUAGGUGGCCGGGGAUAGUCCGGUCACGGUUACAACGGGUACAGAGGAUCAGGGUUCGGUCCUGGAGAGGUAGCCUGAGAAAUCGCUACUACUUCUAAGGAAGGCAGCAGGCGCGCAACGUUCCCCAUGGGGAUACCCUGAGGACGUGACGGGACAUACCAAUGGCCAGCCC
Molecule: ribosomal RNA, 455 nt
Filed under: Hemitrichia serpula
Lineage: Eukaryota; Evosea; Eumycetozoa; Trichiida; Trichiidae
Description: bacterial SSU rRNA
Rfam family: Eukaryotic small subunit ribosomal RNA
Source: RNAcentral